AACGAACGCUGGCGGCAUGCCUAACACAUGCCAGUCGAACGAGACCUUCGGGUCUAGUGGCGCACGGGUGCGUAACGCGUGGGAACCUGCCCUUAGGUUCGGCAUAACUCCCCGAAAGGGGUGCUAAUACCGGAUAAUGUCUUCGGACCAAAGAUUUAUCGCCUUUGGAUGGGCACGCGUUGGAUUAGCUAGUUGGUAGGGUAAAAGCCUACCAAGGCGACGAUCCAUAGCUGGUCUGAGAGGAUGAUCAGCCACACUGGGACUGAGACACGGCCCAGACUCCUACGGGAGGCAGCAGUGGGGAAUAUUGGACAAUGGGCGAAAGCCUGAUCCAGCAAUGCCGGGUGAGUGAUGAAGGCCUUAGGGUUGUAAAGCUCUUUUACCCGGGAUGAUAAUGACAGUACCGGGAGAAUAAGCACCGGCUAACUCCGUG
Molecule: ribosomal RNA, 433 nt
Filed under: uncultured bacterium
Lineage: Bacteria
Description: partial 16S ribosomal RNA
Rfam family: Bacterial small subunit ribosomal RNA
Source: RNAcentral